This 73-nucleotide transfer RNA is filed under the name Butyrivibrio sp. RNAcentral describes it as "tRNA-Ala". It matches the Rfam family "tRNA". Rfam says of the family: Transfer RNA (tRNA) molecules are approximately 80 nucleotides in length. Their secondary structure includes four short double-helical elements and three loops (D, anti-codon, and T loops). RNAcentral also lists the same sequence under 1 other name. The record is from RNAcentral. Lineage: Bacteria; Bacillati; Bacillota; Clostridia; Lachnospirales; Lachnospiraceae.
GGGGCAUUGGCGCAGCUGGGAGCGCGCUUCCAUGGCAUGGAAGAGGUCACGAGUUCGAGCCUCGUAUGCUCCA